UACCAGCACCCCGAGUGGUCGGGACGAUUAUUGGGCCUAAAGCAUCCGUAGCCGGUUUUACAAGUCCUCCGUUAAAUCCAACUGCUUAACAGAUGGGCUGCGGAGGAUACUAUAAGACUAGGAGGCAGGAGAGGCAAGCGGUACUCAGUGGGUAGGGGUAAAAUCCGUUGAUCCAUUGAAGACCACCAGUGGCGAAGGCGGCUUGCCAGAACGCACUCGACGGUGAGGGAUGAAAGCUGGGGGAGCAAACCGG
This 253-nucleotide ribosomal RNA is filed under the name uncultured bacterium. RNAcentral describes it as "partial 16S ribosomal RNA". It matches the Rfam family "Archaeal small subunit ribosomal RNA", at positions 474 to 727 of the family's 1478-position model. The record is from RNAcentral.